This 138-nucleotide small nucleolar RNA is filed under the name Ornithorhynchus anatinus (platypus). Lineage: Eukaryota; Metazoa; Chordata; Mammalia; Monotremata; Ornithorhynchidae. The record is from RNAcentral.
UCCCUCUCAGGGUCGCACCUGGAGAGUUUCCAGUACUCUACCAGUCUUGGCUAAGGGAGGGAGAAUCAAGCAGAGGCACACCCAUUCCAUUUUUGGCUUGGACAUUGGCUAGCGAGUGGAAGGCAAUCUGCUACAAUU